This is an RNA transcript of Cannabis sativa, 781 nucleotides long. It is a transcript of the gene named small ribosomal subunit protein uS10c-like, with no coding region annotated. The transcript has 4 exons. The record is from RefSeq and is a predicted model, not a curated record. Lineage: Eukaryota; Viridiplantae; Streptophyta; Magnoliopsida; Rosales; Cannabaceae.
AAUAUAUGGAUAAUUCUACAGAGCUCAUCAUAGCAGAGGAAGAAGAGAAGAGAAUAGUCUCUCUUCGAUUUCAGAGCUAAAAAGCUUGAAACCAAGAUUUCAAUGGCGGUUUCUUCAGUAUCUGCAACCUUAAUCCCUUCUCUUUCUCUCUCUACUUCCUCUUCUUCUUCAUUUAAACCAAAGCUUUCUCCUUUUUCUUUACACUUUGCUAACUCCUCCGCUAAGCUCAGAACUGUAAAACCUUCACAGUCCUCAACUAGGGUUUAUGCUGCUCCUGAAGUGUUGGAACCCCCUCCAGAAACAUUAGAUGAGUCUGGUGCCGAGACCCUUGAGGUUGGAGGUUCUGAUAUAUAUAUAUAUAUGGAGGAGGUUCUAAUGGUUACAUUUUUAAUGUAACCAUCGUGGUUACAUUUUUUUUAGCCAUCACUAUUAAAUGGGCAAAAAGGUUAAAGUUCCAAUAUUCCUUGUCCCAGCUACCCAAAAGGUGUGGAUGGACUUAUAUAGUCUUCUAAAUUUUUAUCAAUCUGUAAAAGAUUUAAAAAAUCACUCUAAACAACUACAUCAGGAUCAAUCCAUUCAUGGUUAACAUCUUCAAUGUCAUGCUCAAUUCCACUGUUACUCAUGUCAGAGACAUCUUCUUCGCAUUUCUUUUUCACAAAACUCAUGAAAUGAAAAAAAUUAUCUUCAUCUUCGGACAAAUUUGCUAUAGGUUCUAUGUUUUUGUUGUCAAAUAUUUUCGAUGUAAGUGUGGUGGAGAGUGAAUGAAAGAGGAUAAAUGCGA